This 468-nucleotide ribosomal RNA is filed under the name uncultured bacterium. RNAcentral's name for it is "partial 16S ribosomal RNA". It matches the Rfam family "Bacterial small subunit ribosomal RNA", at positions 28 to 507 of the family's 1533-position model. The record is from RNAcentral.
GACGAACGCUGGCGGCGUGCUUAACACAUGCAAGUCGAACGGAAAGGCCCUGCUUUUGUGGGGUGCUCGAGUGGCGAACGGGUGAGUAACACGUGAGUAACCUGCCCUUGACUUUGGGAUAACUUCAGGAAACUGGGGCUAAUACCGGCUAGGAGCUCCUGCUGCAUGGUGGGGGUUGGAAAGUUUCGGCGGUUGGGGAUGGACUCGCGGCUUAUCAGCUUGUUGGUGGGGUAGUGGCCUACCAAGGCUUUGACGGGUAGCCGGCCUGAGAGGGUGACCGGCCACAUUGGGACUGAGAUACGGCACAGACUCCUACGGGAGGCAGCAGUGGGGAAUAGUGCACAAUGGGCGGAAGCCUGAUGCAGCAACGCCGCGUGCGGGAUGACGGCCUUCGGGUUGUAAACCGCUUUCGCCUGUGACGAAGCGUGAGUGACGGUAAUGGGUAAAGAAGCACCGGCUAACUACGUG